GAUGAACGCUGGCGGCGUGCCUAAUACAUGCAAGUCGAGCGAACAGACGAGAGUGCUUGCACUCUCUGACGUUAGCGGCGGACGGGUGAGUAACACGUGGGUAACCUACCUAUAAGACUGGGAUAACUUCGGGAAACCGGAGCUAAUACCGGAUAAUAUUUAGCUUCGCAUGAAGCAAUAGUGAAAGACGGUUCUGCUGUCACUUAUAGAUGGACCCGCGGUGUAUUAGCUAGUUGGUGAGGUAACGGCUCACCAAGGCAACGAUACAUAGCCGACCUGAGAGGGUGAUCGGCCACACUGGGACUGAGACACGGACCAGACUCCUACGGGAGGCAGCAGUAGGGAAUCUUCCGCAAUGGACGAAAGUCUGACGGAGCAAUGCCGCGUGAGUGAAGAAGGUGUUCGGAUCGUAAAACUCUGCUGUAAGGGAAGAACAAGUACGUUAGUAACUGAACGUACCUUGACGGUACCUUACCAGAAAGCCACGGCUAACUACGUG
This 499-nucleotide ribosomal RNA is filed under the name uncultured bacterium. RNAcentral describes it as "partial 16S ribosomal RNA". It matches the Rfam family "Bacterial small subunit ribosomal RNA", at positions 28 to 507 of the family's 1533-position model. The record is from RNAcentral.